RNAcentral lists this ribosomal RNA (301 nucleotides) under uncultured bacterium. RNAcentral describes it as "partial 16S ribosomal RNA". It matches the Rfam family "Bacterial small subunit ribosomal RNA", at positions 509 to 807 of the family's 1533-position model. The record is from RNAcentral.
CAGCAGCCGCGGGAACACGAAGGGUGCAAGCGUUACUCGGAAUUACUGGGCGUAAAGCGUGCGUAGGUGGUGGUUUAAGUCCGUUGUGAAAGCCCUGGGCUCAACCUGGGAAUUGCAGUGGAUACUGGGUCACUAGAGUGUGGUAGAGGAUAGUGGAAUUUCCGGUGUAGCAGUGAAAUGCGUAGAGAUCGGAAGGAACAUCUGUGGCGAAGGCGACUAUCUGGGCCAACACUGACACUGAGGCACGAAAGCGUGGGGAGCAAACAGGAUUAGAUACCCGUGUAGUCCCUGUCUCUUAUAC